This 497-nucleotide ribosomal RNA is filed under the name uncultured bacterium. RNAcentral's name for it is "partial 16S ribosomal RNA". It matches the Rfam family "Bacterial small subunit ribosomal RNA", at positions 28 to 507 of the family's 1533-position model. The record is from RNAcentral.
GAUGAACGCUGGCGGCGUGCCUAAUACAUGCCAGUCGAGCGAACAGACGAGGAGCUUGCUCCUCUGACGUUAGCGGCGGACGGGUGAGUAACACGUGGAUAACCUACCUAUAAGACUGGGAUAACUUCGGGAAACCGGAGCUAAUACCGGAUAAUAUAUUGAACCGCAUGGUUCAAUAGUGAAAGACGGUUUUGCUGUCACUUAUAGAUGGAUCCGCGCCGCAUUAGCUAGUUGGUAAGGUAACGGCUUACCAAGGCAACGAUGCGUAGCCGACCUGAGAGGGGGAUUCGCCACCCUGGGAAUGGGACCCCGCCCAAACCCCCACGGGAGGGCGCAGUAGGGAAUUCUCCCCAAAGGGGGAAAGCCCUGAGGGGCCAACCCGGGGGGGGGAAGAAAGUUUUCCGAACCUAAAACCCUUUUUUUUGGGAAAAAACAAAGUGUAAAUAAACAUUGACGGUUUUACGGUAACCAAACAAAAAGCCCCGGCUAAAUUCGUG